GCCUCGGUAGCUCAGUCGGCAGAGCGCGUGCCUUUUAAGCCCGUGGCCGCGGAUCCGAGCCCGCCCGAGGUG
This 72-nucleotide transfer RNA is filed under the name Perkinsus marinus ATCC 50983. It matches the Rfam family "tRNA". Rfam says of the family: Transfer RNA (tRNA) molecules are approximately 80 nucleotides in length. The record is from Rfam by way of RNAcentral. Lineage: Eukaryota; Perkinsozoa; Perkinsida; Perkinsidae.